Molecule: long non-coding RNA, 215 nt
Organism: Seriola dumerili (greater amberjack)
Lineage: Eukaryota; Metazoa; Chordata; Actinopteri; Carangiformes; Carangidae
Exons: 3
Source: RefSeq, a predicted model, not a curated record
CAGGGAGAAGCAACGAUCCACUACAACAAACUGCAGGCAGACCCAAAACAGGGGAAGUCUCUGGAUAUAGUGCUGAAAAAGGUCAAACAUCGGCUGGUAGAGAACAUGAGCUCAGGCACAGCAGACGCUCUGGGACUCAGCAGAGCUAUUCUCUGCAACGAUGGACUCGUUAAAAGACUGGAAGAGCUGGAGAAAACAGCGGAGCUCUACAAAGG